GGUUACCUGGUACUUGGUCCUGGGGUGCUUUAGUGCAGGAGAGAUAUUGGCGUGGGGUGUGAGAGUUGGAUAAAGAGGUAAUUGGGGCUGUAGACUCUAGACUGGUUGGCUGUAUAUGAGAGAGGUGCUCUGGGUCAAGGCUUUUGCCAUCUCUAAGAAAGGGCUAGCCCUGGGAGGGGCAGUCUCUCCAGAGCCAGCAAACUUUUAAAGAUGUCACCAUAAAAUACAGAAAAUAAGCAUAAGCACACCAACUUACAGGAUGUCCAGUUCAUUCAACAACAUUUCUUUAAAACACGAUCUUCACACUAUUCACAGCCAAGAUUUGACUCAACCUCAGUGUCCAUCAACAAGUGAAAAGAUGAAGAAAAUACGAAGAAGAUCCUUCAGAGCAACGAUUGCAUAGAAGCAGCCUUCUGAUCUGAGGACCCCUGCAGAUCAGAUAUUGGCCCUCCUGCCUUCCUUGGGGCUCCCCGCGUUCCUGGCCUGGCUCUGUUCAUCACUACAGAGACCCCAAUGAACACCUGCAGCUCAGUUCUGUGUUCUGGCAUCUGUGUGGGGUUGGCUGUGACCGCAUAUGCAGAGUGUGACCAGGGUCCCAGUGUGAAAAUAUGCGACUGAGGAAAAACUCUACAGGUGUAGCAUA
RNAcentral lists this long non-coding RNA (643 nucleotides) under Homo sapiens (human). RNAcentral describes it as "non-protein coding lnc-SCGB2B2-2:1". Lineage: Eukaryota; Metazoa; Chordata; Mammalia; Primates; Hominidae. The record is from RNAcentral.